Molecule: ribosomal RNA, 3988 nt
Filed under: Perittonannus antiquus
Lineage: Eukaryota; Metazoa; Arthropoda; Insecta; Hemiptera; Schizopteridae
Description: partial large subunit ribosomal RNA
Rfam family: Eukaryotic large subunit ribosomal RNA
Source: RNAcentral
CAACCUCAAAUUAGGUGAGAUUACCCGCUAAAUUUAAGCAUAUUAUUAAGCGGUGGAAAAGAAACUAACAAGGAUUUCCAUAGUAACAGCGAGCGAACUGGAAAAAGCCCAGCACUGAAUCAUUAAUAUAUUCUAUUAAUGAAUUGUAGUGUUUAAGAAGGUUUUAUAUUUCUAUAUAUAUUUCAUUUGUUCAAGUUCAUCUUGAAUGGGGCCAAAGUCCAUAGAGGGUGCCAGGCCCGUAGUAGCAAAUGAAUAUUAUAGAAAAACCUUUCUUUAGAGUGUAACCUAAAGUGGGUGGUAAACUCCAUCUAAGGCUAAAUAUAACCACAAGACCGAUAGCAAACAAGUACCGUGAGGGAAAGUUGAAAAGAACUUUGAAGAGAGAGUUCAAAAGUACGUGAAACCGUUUAGGGGUAAACGGAAAAGAAUUGAAAAUCCAAAAAAGGGAGAUUCACGUCUUCACGCUUGUUAAACAAGGAUAUAUUUUAUGUAUUUUUUAGGAUGAUUAAAUAAUUGUAUAUAUUUUUAAUAUAUAUUAAUUAUUAAUUGCCUAAUUAACUUGCUUUAACAGCGGUAGAUCGCAUUUCUCUCUAAGUAGGACGUCGCGACCCGCUAAUUUAUAAUCAAUGUGCAAAAAUGAUUGCCUAUUAAUUGACAAAAUAGUGUUAAGCCGCUAUUUUAUAGCGAUUAACAAAUAUUUAAAUUGUUUAAUAUUAUAAAUUUAAACGUUUGUUUAAUUUUUAUAUAUUUACAAUUCAUAAUAUUUUGUUUUAAUCUGAGCUUACAACACUAGUCGGCGACGUUACAGUUUCAGUAACUUUUCCGACCCGUCGAAACACCCAAGGAGUCUAACAUGUGCGCAAGUUAUUGGGUUAUCAAACCCAAAGGCAUAACGAAAGUAAAAUAAGCUUUGCUUUAUUAGAGAGGAUGGUAUUUUAAUUAAAAUUUUUUUUUUUAAUUUAAAUAACCCGCACUCUCGGAGCGUUUAUUACUCAUUGCGAGUAAAGGCGCAUCAAGAGCGUACACGUUGGGACCCGAAAGAUGGUGAACUAUGCCUGGCCAGGAUGAAGCCAGGGGAAACCCUGGUGGAGGUCCGCAGCGGUUCUGACGUGCAAAUCGAUCGUCAGAGCUUGGUAUAGGGGCGAUAGACCUAUCGAAUUAUCUAGUAGCUGGUUCCCUCCGAAGUUUCCCUCAGGAUAGCUGGUGCUCAUGAAAAAAUGAGUCUCAUCCGGUAAAGCGAAUGAUUAGAGGCAUUGGGGCCGAAACGACCUCAACCUAUUCUCAAACUUUAAAUGGGUGAGAACCUUGGCUUGCUUAAAUAUAUAUUUUUUGAAGCCAUAAGGAAAUUUGAUCAAAGUGCCAAGUGGGCCAUUUUUGGUAAUGUGGGAUGAACCAAACGGUGAGUUAAGGCGCCCGAAUUAACGCUCAUUAGACACCAUAAAAGGCGUUUGUUGCUUAAGACAGCAGGACGGUGCUCAUGGAAGUUGAGAUCCGCUAAGGAGUGUGUAACAACUCACCUGCCGAAGCAACUAGCCCUGAAAAUGGAUGGCGCUGUAGCGUUAUGCCUAUACUCUCCCGUCAACGAUAAAUAAGGCAAAUAAAUAAUAUAUUUUUUGUGCUAUUAAAUCUUGACGAGUAGGAGGGUCGCGGCGAUGAGCGUAGAAGGGUCUAGGCGUAAGCCUGCCUGGAGCCGUCGCCGGUGCAGAUCUUGGUGGUAGUAGCAAAUACUCCAGUGAGCUUCCUGGAGGACUGAUGUGGAGAAGGGUUUCUUGUGAACAGCUGUUGCACAAGAGUCAGUCGAUCCUAAGAUCUAAGGUAGUUCCAAUGUGAAUGUAGUACCGUUAAUUUAUAAAUUAUUAAAAUUUUUAAAAGAUGGUACUCCUUGAUCGAAAGGGAAUCUGGUUCAUAUUCCAGAACCUGGCUGCGGAACCGUUUCAAAUCGAGCCCUCGCACGAAGACUCGUCGGGGUAACCCAAAAAGACCCAGAGACGCUGUUGGAAAAUUUGGAGAGAGUUGUCUCUUCUCUAUAAGCGUUCGAGUUCCCUGGAAUCCUUUAGAAGGGAGAUAGGGUUUGGAACGCGAAGAGCUUCGCAGUUACGGCGAAGUCCAAAUCUUUCCUUCAGACCUUGAAAAUCUGGGAGAGGGCCACGAGGAACCCCGCGCCAGAUCGUACCCAUAUCCGCAGCAGGUCUCCAAGGUGAAUAGCCUCUAGUCGACAGAAUAAUGUAGGUAAGGGAAGUCGGCAAGUUCGAUCCGUAACUUCGGGAUAAGGAUUGGCUCUGAGGAUCGUGUCGUGCUGGGCUUGGUUGGGAAGUGAAGCGUUGUCAACGAGCCAGGCCUGGGCGAGGUGAUUAGGUUUUUUUUUAUAUAAAAAAAUUCCUUAAGAUCUAAGCUCGGUCUUGUGCCUUGGCCAUUCAUGGAUCAUCCUUGCUGAAGACAUUAUAAUUGUCAAGUUGCUUAGCUUUAGCUUAGUAAACGGAUUAUAUGUCUUUUCGGCCGACAUUCAACGAUCAGCUCAGAACUGGCACGGACUAAGGGAAUCCGACUGUCUAAUUAAAACAAAGUAUUGCGAUGGCCUCAAAUGGGUGCUGACGCAAUGUGAUUUCUGCCCAGUGCUCUGAAUGUCAAUGUGAAGAAAUUCAAUGAAGCGCGGGUAAACGGCGGGAGUAACUAUGACUCUCUUAAGGUAGCCAAAUGCCUCGUCAUCUAAUUAGUGACGCGCAUGAAUGGAUUAACGAGAUUCCCUACUGUCCCUACCUACUAUCUGGCGAAACCACUGCCAAGGGAACGGGCUUGGAAUCAUCAGCGGGGAAAGAAGACCCGUUUGAGCUUGACUCUAGUCUGGUACUGUAAGGAGACAUGAAAGGUGUAGCAUAAGUGGGAGAUUUAUAUAUUUUUUAUAUAUUAUCAACAGUGAAAUACCACUACUUUCAUAGUUUCUUUACUUAUUCGAUUAGGCAGAAGGCGUCAGCUGAGGGUGUUACACCCCGGUUUGACGGUAUUCUUGAGCCAAGCGCUUGGGUUGUCGGAUGUCCAACAAAACUUUUGUUUGUAAAUAUCACGGGUUGGUCUUCUUCAGUUUUUAUAAAUUGUUGUUAGAUUUAAUUCGUAAUUUGCUUCUUUGGUUUUAGUUGCGAGUACCGUCAACAGUUCCCUAGCGUGAUCUGAAUCGAAGACAAUGCCAGGUAGAGAGUUUGGCUGGGGCGGUACAUCUGUGAAAAAAUAGCGCAGGUGUCCUAAGGCCAGCUCAGCGAGGACAGAAACCUCGCGUAGAGCAAAAGGGCAAAUGCUGGCUUGAUCCCGAUGUUCAGUACGCAUAGGGACUGCGAAAGCACGGCCUAUCGAUCCUUUUAGUCUGAAGAGUUUUCAGCAAGAGGUGUCAGAAAAGUUACCAUCGGGAUAACUGGCUUGUGGCAGCCAAGCGUUCAUAGCGACGUUGCUCUUUGAUCCUUCGAUGUCGGCUCUUCCUAUCAUUGUAAAGCAGAAUUUACCAAGCGUUGGAUUGUUCACCCACUAAUAGGGAACGUGAGCUGGGUUUAGACCGUCGCGAGACAGGUUAGUUUUACCCUACUGAUGACCGUUUUUGUAAUAGUAAUCCUGCUCAGUACGAGAGGAACCGCAGGUUCGGACAUUUGGUUCAUGCACUCGGUCGACAGGCCGGUGGUGCGAAGCUACGUCCGUGGGAUUAGGCCUGAACGCCUCUAAGGCCGAAUCCUUUCUAAUUGUUUUAAAGAUAACUUUAUGGGUCUUGUGUGUCAAUAGGCCACACACAAUGUGACUGUAUAGGUAAUCAGCAAUACCCAUUGUUUGAUUAUCGCAUAAGCCAUUUAUGUAAAAAAAAUAAUCAGCUGUAAUAUUAAAAUAAUAAUAUUGCAGUUAUAUUUUUCUUACGUACCAUUGGUAACCUCCUUUUAGGGGGAGUUUGAUGUCAAGGCCCGAAAUCGUUUGUAGACGACCUAUGUACUGAGCGAGGUGUUGUAUUCGGUAG